UUGCACAGGUGCUGCAUGGCUGUCGUCAGCUCGUGUCGUGAGAUGUCGGUUAAGUCCGCUAACGAGCGCAACCCUCGUCGUGUGUUAUACGUGUCACACGAUACUGCCGGUAUCAAGCCGGAGGAAGGUGGGGAUGAUGUCAAGUCAGCAUGGCCUUUAUAUCCUGGGCUACACACACGCUACAAUGGCAGAUGCAAUAGGUUGCGAAACCGCGAGGUGGAGCCAAUCCUCAAAGUCUGUCUCAGUUCAGAUUGUAGGCUGCAACUCGCCUGCAUGAAGUUGGAGUUGCUAGUAAACGCAGGUCAGCUAUACUGCGUUGAAUACGUUCCCGGGUUUU
RNAcentral lists this ribosomal RNA (337 nucleotides) under uncultured Leptolinea sp. Its description in RNAcentral is "bacterial SSU rRNA". It matches the Rfam family "Bacterial small subunit ribosomal RNA", at positions 1030 to 1382 of the family's 1533-position model. Lineage: Bacteria; Bacillati; Chloroflexota; Anaerolineae; Anaerolineales; Anaerolineaceae. The record is from RNAcentral.